RNAcentral lists this unclassified non-coding RNA (261 nucleotides) under Hevea brasiliensis (rubber tree). The record is from RNAcentral. Lineage: Eukaryota; Viridiplantae; Streptophyta; Magnoliopsida; Malpighiales; Euphorbiaceae.
AGGGGGAGAGAGAGUGGAAAUGAUUCUCUUGGGAAAUGUAUUCUCAUGCCAUAUUUUAUACUAUUAUCUUUGCCAAUGCAAUAUGGUGAUUAUAAGUUUAAGAACAAGAUUUGUAUAAAAUAGAGUGACUGAAGGAUGUGCCAACCUGUCAUAUUUUGCUAGGAUUUGAAUCAGAAUUUGUAAGUAUUGCUGAAAAAUUUCUCCCUAUACUUACCUUUUGCUUUGAUUGCAUAUCACCAGCAAAUUGUGCCACCUGUGCUU